Molecule: long non-coding RNA, 1174 nt
Filed under: Taeniopygia guttata (zebra finch)
Lineage: Eukaryota; Metazoa; Chordata; Aves; Passeriformes; Estrildidae
Description: lncRNA (ENSTGUG00000026816.1)
Source: RNAcentral
UUGCUGGAUGUGGAAAGAACUUUGUAGUGCACUGCAUCGCGAUUGUUCAGACUUCAAAGCAGCCCUUAGAAAAACUGUAAAUAAGGACUAAGGCAUAAAAAUAUACCAGCACCUGGGAAUACUCAGCACACUGCACACCAGAACAGAAUCCAAGCCCUGGCAAAGAGCCAGCCACCGGGAAUAAAUCUGGAAGGGUUUAAUACAUGCUGAAGAACCGAACCACUUUGAAACAAACUAGAGUAUCCCUAAGUUACGGAGAGGAAGGAAUUUUUGCCAAGAUAUACAUCAGGAAGAUCCUACUCUCUGGAUUUUGUUUUCUGAAACAGCAAACUGCUAUCACAUUUGUUUUUGUUUUUCUGAAAAGAUUUCUGUUGUCCCUACUGGCAGACUUUUAAUGGUCAACACCCUAAUUAAUAUUGUCUCACACACCAAGCAAGUGACUAUAAUUAUUUUGAUAUCAUCACCACUUAGCCUAGGUUUAUUCUAGUAGUACAAGAUAUGUGGAGUAAAAACCUUAUUGUCUACAGGAAUCCUUUAGAAUAUGUUUGGUAAUAUUUUUUUUCCACAAUGGCAUAAAGAAUGUGGAGGAAGGAUGCCAGUAUAAGUAGGUAUGCUCCCUCAUAACAUCAUUUUGUCCAUUCUAAUUACUUAGAAAGCAGAAUUAUACUACUGUUUCCUGCAGCUACAAGGAAAUAGCAUAUUAGUUGCUUUUAUGAAUUUGAAACAAACUGAUACUGUACAUUUUAUUUACUUAUCAGUUCCAUAACUUACAAGCAGGCCUUUGAAGGCCUGCAUGAAGGUGUUCAUCCACACAGGAGGUAGGAGAAAGAAUAACAGAUAUACCUGAGUAAUUUCUGCUGGAAGUAAGGUCAGAAUUGGGUAGAGAUAUAUGCAUUGACUGUAAUUCAGGAAUUAUCUGAAGAUGACUAAUUAUAUAAAAUGCACUGUUUCAAUAUAUGAAACCUUAUUUGAAGCCCAUUACAAUCAAUAGAAAGAUUUGGCGUUUGUUCAAGCUUUUAAACUGGAGAAAAGUCUGUGAUAUACGACCCACUGUCAUAUUGUCACAAAGUUAUUUAAAUGAUAAUGGCCUUUUCAAUUAAACUAUUUAUUUGAAGAAACAACAGCUUGUUUUAUUGUGAUCCUUUCUCCCUGUAUAUAAUUUUUGUUAACCAAG